AUGAAGAACGCAGCGAAAUGCGAUAAGUAAUGUGAAUUGCAGAAUUCAGUGAAUCAUCGAAUCUUUGAACGCACAUUGCGCCCGCCAGUAUUCUGGCGGGCAUGCCUGUUCGAGCGUCAUUUCAACCCUCAGGGCCCUUUUGGACCUGGCGUUGGGGCUCGGCCGCUACCCUGCGGCCGUCCCCGAAAGAUAGUGGCGGUCUCGCUGUAGCCUCCUCUGCGUAGUAGUUACAUCUCGCACUGGAACGCGGCGCGGCCAUGCCGUUAAACACCCCACUUCUCAAGGUUGACCUCGGAUCAGGUAGGAAUACCCGCUGAACUUAAGCAUAUCAAUAAGCGGAGGA
This 343-nucleotide unclassified non-coding RNA is filed under the name soil metagenome. Its description in RNAcentral is "partial contains 5.8S ribosomal RNA, internal transcribed spacer 2, and large subunit ribosomal RNA". The stretch from base 1 to 119 matches the Rfam family "5.8S ribosomal RNA", at positions 36 to 154 of the family's 154-position model. The record is from RNAcentral.